RNAcentral lists this ribosomal RNA (253 nucleotides) under uncultured bacterium. Its description in RNAcentral is "partial 16S ribosomal RNA". It matches the Rfam family "Bacterial small subunit ribosomal RNA", at positions 524 to 776 of the family's 1533-position model. The record is from RNAcentral.
UACGGGGGGGGCAAGCGUUGUUCGGAUUUAUUGGGUUUAAAGGGUGCGUAGGCGGUCCUAUAAGUCAGUGCUGAAAUAUCCCGGCUUAACCGGGAGGGUGGCAUUGAUACUGCAGGACUUGAGUAAAGUUGAGGUUGGCGGAAUUGACGGUGUAGCGGUGAAAUGCUUAGAUAUCGUCAAGAACACCUAUUGCGAAGGCAGCUAACUAAGCUUUAACUGACGCUGAGGCACGAAAGUGUGGGGAUCAAACAGG